AGCAGCCGCGGUAAUUCCAGCUCCAAUAGCGUAUAUUAAAGUUGUUGCAGUUAAAAAGCUCGUAGUUGAAUUUCGGGAUCAUCAGGUUGGUCGUGCCAUUGGUAUGUACUAGCUUUGGUGGUUCCUACCUCUUGAAGAACCGUAAUGUCACUAACUUGGUGUUGCGGGGAAUCAGGACUGUUACUUUGAAAAAUUAGAGUGUUUAAAGCAGGCAAACGCUUGAAUACAUUAGCAUGGAAUAAUGAAAUAGGACGUUUGAUCUUAUUUUGUUGGUUUCUAGGAUCGACGUAAUGAUUAAUAGGGAUAGUUGGGGGCAUUAGUAUUCAAUUGUCAGAGGUGAAAUUCUUGGAUUUAUUGAAGACUAACUACUGCGAAAGCAUUUGCCAAGGAUGUUUUCAUUAAUCAAGAACGAAAGUUAGGGGAUCGAAGACGAUCAGAUACCGUCGUAGUCUUAACCAUAAACUAUGCCGACUAGGGAUCGGAUGAUGUUAAUUUUUAAUGACUCAUUCGGCGCCUUACG
RNAcentral lists this ribosomal RNA (520 nucleotides) under uncultured Glomus. RNAcentral describes it as "SSU rRNA". It matches the Rfam family "Eukaryotic small subunit ribosomal RNA", at positions 569 to 1092 of the family's 1831-position model. The record is from RNAcentral. Lineage: Eukaryota; Fungi; Glomeromycota; Glomeromycetes; Glomerales; Glomeraceae.